UAUAAAACAAAUAAUGAAUGUUUUUAUUCGUGCAAUGGUAAGAAUAUUUUCAUUCGGUGAAAGAUGGAAUGUUCCAUUCAACUCGGCUGUCGCCUCAUUGGAAUGGAACAUUCCAUCUUUCACCUCAUGAAAAUAUAUUCUUACCAUUGCACUCAUAAACAUUCAUUAUUUGUAUAAUA
RNAcentral lists this microRNA precursor (179 nucleotides) under Paramuricea clavata. The record is from RNAcentral. Lineage: Eukaryota; Metazoa; Cnidaria; Anthozoa; Malacalcyonacea; Plexauridae.